Molecule: ribosomal RNA, 253 nt
Filed under: uncultured bacterium
Lineage: Bacteria
Description: partial 16S ribosomal RNA
Rfam family: Bacterial small subunit ribosomal RNA
Source: RNAcentral
UACGUAGGGUGCGAGCGUUGUCCGGAAUUACUGGGCGUAAAGAGCUCGUAGGUGGUUUGUCGCGUUGUUCGUGAAAACUCACAGCUUAACUGUGGGCGUGCGGGCGAUACGGGCAGACUGGAGUACUGCAGGGGAGACUGGAAUUCCUGGUGUAGCGGUGGAAUGCGCAGAUAUCAGGAGGAACACCGGUGGCGAGGGCGGGUCUCUGGGCAGUAACUGACGCUGAGGAGCGAAAGCGUGGGGAGCAAACAGG